This 2896-nucleotide non-coding RNA is filed under the name Pongo abelii (Sumatran orangutan). The record is from RNAcentral. Lineage: Eukaryota; Metazoa; Chordata; Mammalia; Primates; Hominidae.
UUUUUUUUUUUAAGAGAGCAGGUCUUGCCAUGUUGUCCAAGCUGGUCUCCAACUCCUGGGCUCAGGCAACCCUCCCACAGUGGCCUCGCAAAGCGUUGGGAUUACAGGCAUGAGCCACCACACCUGGCAGAAUUUUUAAUUUUUUGUAGAGCUAGGGUCUCGCUAUGUUGCCCAGUCUAGUCAUGAACUCCUGAGUUCAAGCAAUCAGCCCACCUUGCCUCCCAAAGUGUCGGGAUUACAGGCGUUGGGGCCACCACACUUGGCCUAGAAAACAUUUUCCAGGCACGGUGGCUCAUGCCUGUAAUCCCGACACUUUGGGAGGCAAGGCAGGUGGAUCACCUGAGAUCAGAAUUCCUGUAUUCCUAAUAGGAUCUGCGCCAGAGACAAAAACACAAGACAGGUGUGAGCAGUUUGAAAGGGAGACACCGUGAGACUCAGCCUCAGCCACAGAGAAUGACCACAGACUCACGCGUCCGGAGGGGAGACUGAGGCAGCCCUGCCCGUGCCGGCGGCGGAGGCCCCGUACCUGUUUGAUUGUGAUGGCUGGCCUCCAGUCCUUGUCCUCCUCUAAGAUGGACAGGCACACUGUCCCCGAAGGGUACACAUUCGGGUGAAAUAAUGGUGGUUCGAAUUUACCUGGAGGAAAAGGAAGAAAGGAAGCACUUUUUGGAGGCAGGCACUGUCCCAGAGUCACGUCCUUCCCCACGUCACCCUCCUCCCAACACUGGGGCCCCGGGUUGGCAGCCAGGUUAUUUGGCCAAAAACUUUUCAAAAAAAUUAAAUUGUGGCCAUGAGGAGACAAAAGGCAGACAUAUACACCUUUGCACACAGGGAACAGAGCCUUGGGGACACGGCCGCAGUUGAGACGAAGCUGUGUCUCUCCCGGGACAGAACUCCCAGCACAGCCAGGCAGUCUGGGAACAUAGGCCCCAGGGUGGCCACUUAACCUGUGGCCCCUACAUCCUUCCCAGCUGGGCCAGACUCAGGGGAGAUGGAAGGAGCCACAGGAGACGUCCAGGGACAUAGCCAAGGCCCUUCCAGAGUCGGCUGUUCCGACACAGACCCUCUGCUUCCAGGACACACGGGCUUUUAGGACCCUGUGUUAUUUCUUUACAAAAAAGCAGAAAAGUUUGCCACCAUUAGCCCCACCAGGGACCAUCACAGUUGAUAUUCUAGGCUAUUUCCCAUCUUUUACCCGGGCAUCCUCCCUCUUCUCUCAGUGCUACGGAAGGACACGCAGUGUGGCACAUCUAGUGCAGCCAGAGGAAUUAUCAGAAAGCCAACGUGCCACGAACACCUACAGCUUCCCAGAACACUUGCUCCUACCGACCACUGCGUCUGCCCCGUAAUCCCAACUCCAACACCCGCGGGCAGCUUCCUGGACUUCAGGUACCAUGGAGACGCACAGGGCACACUCCCUGGGGAAGGCGAGGACACCACCACAGAGCAUCCCACACUGCGACCAUCCCACACGGCGGACCAUCCCACACCGCAGGAGCUCACGGGCGACACCAGCAGCUGCGUGGCAGUCCUGAGUGCGAACGCGCGUGAGCGCGCUGCUGUGGAAUGUGCGGUCACGGCGUUGGCCCUCAAGCCAUGCUGCUUCCAGGCUGCAUCGCUGGCGGAUUCUAGCCACUGGGUGAGGUGCACGGCGGCCACUCCGUGGUGCUACGCUGCGCAUCCUGGUGACCGCUGAGGGCCCCUUUCAGCCCAGGCUGCUUCCUGGUGACUGCUUCGGAGAAGUUCCUCAAGUGACACGUCUUACAGGGCUCUUCUGCUUGGGGCUUGACUUCUUGCUUUUUUAAUUUUUUGAGAUGGAGUUUCACUGUGUUGCCCAGGCUGGAUCUCAGCUCACUGCAGCCUUCACCUCCCGGGCUCAAGUGAUUCUCCCGCCUCACCUUAGCCUCCAGAGUAGCUGAGGUUACAGGCACCUGCCAUCAAGCUUGGCCAAUUUUUCUAUUUUAUUAGAACCGGGGUUCCUCCAGUUGGUCAGGCUGGUCUCAAACUCCUGACCUUAAGUGAUUCACCUGCCUCAGCCUCCCAAAGUGCUGGGAUCACAGGUGUGAGCCAUCGCGCCCGGCCUGACCUUUUGCUCUUCUAAGGGAAUCUUUUGGCAAACACAAAAAUUGCCUAAUUUCAAUUUAAUCUGAUUUCUCAAUCUCGUUUCUUCUGCCAAUCACAACUUACCCACAGAAAGGCGCAGAUGCUGGACGCCAGCACCGCCAGGCCCACCUGUCCCUCCCGAGUUAGAGGCUGCCUCCUAGUUCCUCGUGGCCUCCGGCUUGGCCACUCCCGCGCUUGGCAGAAGGAACACAAAGGGGGUGCCCUCCUGUCUGGACUGUCCGCCAGGCAUCACGUGGCCUUUUCACUCUUCCCUACCUGUCAUCUGUGGCAAGUGGGGGUGACACCGGCACCCAUCUGUGCCUCUGGUGGACACACGCCUGCGCGUCUGUGAAUCUCGACUGACUCGAGUGAACAGCCAGGUCCUACAGCAUGAGCUCGGCUUCCACCAGUGUGGCAGGCAGCGUCCAGGAGAAACGUUCAGAACAUCCGCUCCCUCCAGCAGUGGCUGAGGCUCCCGCUGCCCUGCGCCGCGGCUCUGUCUGCUCCCCUGUGCGGUACGGCAGAUCCCACUGCAGAGGCUUCCACUCUUCGGCAAAGCCAGGCAUCCCUGCCGCAUUUGCUGGCUGGGUGGAGGCCUUUCCUGUGCUGGACGUAAUGGCUGCCUUCUUACUGAUUCCCAGGAGCUCUUGGUAGAUUCGGGGUGAGGGCUGAGGUACGUACAUACACCGUAGUGUGCCCUCCUGCCCGGUGCCAACUGCAGUCUUUAUGAUUAAGAGAGAUUCUUAAUUUCAACUUAGUCAACUCGUCAAUCUUCCUCUGGCCAGCACUUCAU